RNAcentral lists this ribosomal RNA (466 nucleotides) under Anaplasma platys. Its description in RNAcentral is "bacterial SSU rRNA". It matches the Rfam family "Bacterial small subunit ribosomal RNA", at positions 26 to 520 of the family's 1533-position model. The record is from RNAcentral. Lineage: Bacteria; Pseudomonadati; Pseudomonadota; Alphaproteobacteria; Rickettsiales; Anaplasmataceae.
AGAACGAACGCUGGCGGCAAGCUUAACACAUGCAAGUCGAACGGAUUUUUAUCAUAGCUUGCUAUGAUAAAAAUUAGUGGCAGACGGGUGAGUAAUGCAUAGGAAUCUACCUAGUAGUAUGGGAUAGCCACUAGAAAUGGUGGGUAAUACUGUAUAAUCCCUGCGGGGGAAAGAUUUAUCGCUAUUAGAUGAGCCUAUGUUAGAUUAGCUAGUUGGUAGGGUAAAGGCCUACCAAGGCAGUGAUCUAUAGCUGGUCUGAGAGGAUGAUCAGCCACACUGGAACUGAGAUACGGUCCAGACUCCUACGGGAGGCAGCAGUGGGGAAUAUUGGACAAUGGGCGCAAGCCUGAUCCAGCUAUGCCGCGUGAGUGAGGAAGGCCUUAGGGUUGUAAAACUCUUUCAGUGGGGAAGAUAAUGACGGUACCCACAGAAGAAGUCCCGGCAAACUCCGUGCCAGCAGCCGCGG